CCACAAAAUAUCAUCACAUGGCAAAUAAAUGCAAGUCCAAUAUUUUCCUCUCCCACACUUAAACUUCACAUUGUCCUCAAUGUAAGAAAAGGAAAAUAAAUAAAGAGUAAAAGAAAAAACUGCUCAAUUGAACUUGCGUAAUCAGAAUCCAUGGCCAAGUGACGAAUUUCCAACCAUAAGAAGUCUGAAAACAUAGAUGAAGACCACUUGGAUUAGUUCACACAUAAGAAAAAAUGAAAACCACUAAAAGUUAAACAUCACAAAUACAACCGAAAAUAAAAGAAAAACUAGUGACAAUGUCACGAGGUGAUGAACACUCCCUCAAGUAGUCGCUUGGUCAGGUGAAGAUGGUGGAGUCGGAGGAGCUUCAAUACCCAGCUUGGUUUCAAUGCGACGAAGACGCUCGGAGUUCCGUUUGUUCUCUUGGCGGCUCUUCUUCACCUCAGCCUCGACGCAAAGCAACUUAUCCAUUAUCUUCUUCAAAAACAACCGAGUGUCCUGAGGUGAGGAUGGACGACGGGAGGGAGACGGCUCAGUUGUUUCAACCCCUUGAGCUCCUUCAAUACGUUCAAUCUCAGCUUCCUCCUCGUGUCGAAUGUCUCCUUGAGCACCUUCUUGAGUUGAAGGACCACCUACUUCUUUACUUUUCAGAAUGAACCUGUAAAAAUCCAGUGUAAAGACAUCUUUCUUCUUGAGACCCGUAGGGAUAGUGUUAGAAAAAUCCACUCCAACCCUUUGAAACUCCAAGGUCAAAAACUGAGGAUAUGGGAAAGCAUGUUUGAUAUCGUUACUGCGAACCACUGUCCACAUGUGGUUGGUGAUAAUGCUUCCCAAUGGAAUGCCUCGGAUGUUACUUAGACCAUGCUCCAUUUUAUCCAAGAAAUAGAUGUCGCUUGUGCGCACUGUCGCGCCCCAUUUUUCGUGAUGGAAAAAUAUAAGUAUAAAAAUAGGUAUUUACAAAAUAUGUAAUCUUAUUUUAAAAUAAAUGAAAAAGGACCUAGAAUGGGACUUUAAAGAAUGCGACAAUUUGGGUCCAAAAUUUAGUCUAAAAGGGUUUUUAAGAAAAAAUAGGAGUCGCCACUUGGUAUGAAAUUUUGGUGUACCAAGUCACCCAAAAAAUAAAGUAAAAUAAAAUAAAAUAAAACCCUUUUUGACAACUCCAGGUCUUUGUAAACAAGAGAAAAUGGAUUCGGGAGUCACGGUUGAAGAAAGGGAAGGCAAAGGUUCGAUUAACUCAAACCUAAGGCACCCUUUCAACCUAGUCUAAACUAGUUGCGAGAUUUAGUCAAAAUUUUCCUAAUCUAACCCUUAAUUUAUCACAUUUGGAUGUUUCCUACAUGAAUGCAAAUCUAAAUAUAAAAAAAAUAUCGAAAGGGGCAACAUGUUCAUUCAAGGGUUUAAUUGAACCAAUCGCAUUAAUUGCGAAGGCCAAAAUGAUUCCUUGAAAGUGUCACGAGUAUGUAAAUGAUGAAAUUAAAAUAAAAGAAAAGAAAUUAAAUUAUAUACAUAUAUAAGUGAUCAAAGAAAAAGGGAAUGCAACAUAAAGGGUAUGGGAGGCAAAAACUCGUGACAUAAUUUUCUUAUACAGGGAUUAAUGGGGCAUUUAAACUAAAAAGUUAUAAUCACCCAUUUCCCAUAUUUGAAAAAUAAUUCUCCUAAUAUGCACAAACAAAUGAGCUAACUUAUUAUACAAUAUCCUAAAUGAAAUGCAAUUCUAAAUGACAUGAUUAACACAUAUAGAGGAUAGGGGAUAAUAUAAUAGGAAAUAUCAUGCAAAUGGGAAAAGAUCCUAAAAAUGAAAAUAUGCGUGAAAAUGUAAUGAAUAUCACACAAAAAUGAAUCUAACGCACGAACGAUCUAAGGGUCUAGCGUUGGACUAACCCAUUUCUAAAAAUCCUUACUAGCGUUGGACUAGCAAGUAAACGGAGGGAGAAACCACAACUAGCGUUGGACUAGUGUGGUGACGUCAUGCAUUUUUAAUACAUAAUAAGACAAGUAGACAUAAAUUAAAACAAAUAAACACAUAAGAGCACGUAGCACGUAACACAUAAGCGUAAUAUCUAGAUGCAAAAAUCCUAAGGAAAGCAAGUAAGGCACGUAACACAUAAGCCACAUAAUCACACAACCUAUCUAUUACAUCGGGGAGCGCCUAACUACAAUCUAAAAGGGGAAAUAAAAUAAAACAAAUCUAAUUAUCCUAUCUAUUACAUUUUUGAGGUAUUUAAAUGCCUCUCAAAUAAUUAUAAAAUUAACUAAAAAAGUAUAAGAAAAUUUAAAUGAUCAUUCAAAUCAAAUAAACAAAGCAUAUAAAAAUAUAUAAACAUAUAGGAGCACGUAAGAGCACAUAAGAGCACGUAAUUAACAUUGAAAUAAUAAUAAUGAGGUACCUCCCUUUUGAAGUGGUGACUAAAUGGAGUCAAAUUGUCCUAUUUAUACUCACAAUGAACAAAAGAAUCAUGGCACCAAUUUAAUUUUAAAAAAAAACAAUAAUAAUAAAAGUACUAAGCUCACGCUAAUAUGUCAAACAUAAAGAAAUUUAAAAUAUCUAAAAAUUACAAGUUGAAUAUGUUCAAAAGUAACAUAAUUAGUUAUUGAAGAAAAGAAAACAAUCAUAAUAAAGAGAGCCAAAAUUUGUCAAGGACUGAAUUACAAAAAGUUGAAAACUUUUGGGGGACAAAAAUUAUAUUUUCCAAAGUUCAGGGGUCCAAAUUAAAUGAAAGAUAAAAUUCAGGGACCAAAGUGAAAUUAAUUUAAGGACCGAGUUGAAAGGAAUUUAAAAUGUUCUGGGCCGCAGUGAAAGUACUUGAAAGUACAGGGACUGAAGUGCAAGUUCGUUUCUGAUUUGGGCAAGAAGAGGGCAUCGGGCCUCCCUUUUUAUUUUACUUGGGCCAAACCUACCUAAGCCCAACUGAAAACCCAACCUAAAACACACAGGCCAGCCCGUCUUUUAUCACUCAAACCCAACCAAAAUAUAUGGACUCAAAACUCUUAGCCCAACCGAAACCCAAAAGAAAAUAAACCAAAACCCAUUUUCAUAACCCAACCAAAACUAACUCUUGCCCAACCGAAAUAAAACAUUAGCCCAAACCCCUUUUUUCUUUCUUUCUUUUCUUUCUCUUUUCUUCCCCAUACGUUUCCUUUCCUUCUUCUUCGGCCAACCGAAGAAGCUUCAGCUGGUAGCCAUGGUGGCGGCGCCACCGGACCGCCGGUCACCGGCGACUUUUCCAAUGGCCAAAAUUUCUCAAAAUACAUCUUUCCAGUCCAUUUUUCGCGUAGGUUCCAUUUCCGGAGUUAAUUUUUACAAAAGAUGACCCGAAGGUGACCGAAAAGCAAAAAGCCAGUCCAGUUUUUUAUUUUUUAAAACACUAUAAUCUUCACCAAAAAUCUUAAAAAUUAUGCCAAAACCCUCCUUAUAACUUCUACAUUACAACUAUAAUCUAAGUUGAACAAGAAAACAACAUAAAAAGGCUGAAUUAAGGCAAAACAGUCCCUAAAAUUCUUUUUGGCAUUUUUUCAAACAAUUAACAUGCAUUCACAGAAAUCAUCUUUUCCUUAAUGUUUAUUCAUGGCUUUACCCCAAAAUUUCAACAACACCAGCAGCAACAACAAGAAAACAGCAGGAACAACCAAUAAUACAUGAAUUCAACACGAUAAAGAAAAAAAAACAGGAAAUAGUUCAAUGGAAGUGUUGAUACCUCUUAUGACCUUAGUUAAAAUUGUUGAUGAAAUUCCAAUCUCCUCGCGUCCGAUUGCUUGCUUUCUUGUGCUUGAUUCUGUGUGUGUAUAUUAGGAAAAGAGAGGGAGCCGAAUGGAAAGAGGAGUUUUUCUUUUUUUUUUUCUUGUUAUGGCUUGUCUUCUGUCCUGUGGGAGAGAGCCGAGAGAGGAGAUUUUUGUAGCCAACAGUAGAGCCUUUUUUGUGUGUGUUUUUUUUUCCUCCUUUUCCCCCAGAGAGAGCCGAGUGAUGUCUUGACUAGGAGUGUUAAGUUGGGCCAAAUGAUGAUUUUUUCUUCCAAAGACAAGAAGUAUGCAUGGGCUAUCAAUGAUGAAUUUUUUACCAAAAUGGGAAGAAAUGUUAAUGAGGAUGGAGUGUAAAAAUGGGUUAAUAGUGGUUCUGAUGAAACAAAAUGAUUAGAAUGAUUUUUUUUAUUUUCUUAAUUUUCCUUCUUUUGUUUUGUUUUGUUUGUUUGUUGUUUUUUUUUU
This 4200-nucleotide long non-coding RNA is filed under the name Coffea arabica (coffee). RNAcentral's name for it is "long non-coding RNA (CARA_LNC008362)". Lineage: Eukaryota; Viridiplantae; Streptophyta; Magnoliopsida; Gentianales; Rubiaceae. The record is from RNAcentral.